GAUGAAGAACGCAGCGAAAUGCGAUAAGUAAUGUGAAUUGCAGAAUUCAGUGAAUCAUCGAAUCUUAGAACGCACAUUGCGCCCGCCAGUAUUCUGGCGGGCAUGCCUGUCUGAGCGUCAUUUCAACCCUCAUGCCCCUAGGGCGUGGUGUUGGGGAUCGGCCAAAGCCCGCGAGGGACGGCCGGCCCCUAAAUCUAGUGGCGGACCCGUCGUGGCCUCCUCUGCGAAGUAGUGAUAUUCCGCAUCGGAGAGCGACGAGCCCCUGCCGUUAAACCCCCAACUUUCCAAGGUUGACCUCAGAUCAGGUAGGAAUACCCGCUGAACUUAAGCAUAUCAAUAAGCGGAGGA
Molecule: unclassified non-coding RNA, 348 nt
Filed under: soil metagenome
Description: partial contains 5.8S ribosomal RNA, internal transcribed spacer 2, and large subunit ribosomal RNA
Rfam family: 5.8S ribosomal RNA (bases 1-120)
Source: RNAcentral